This 405-nucleotide long non-coding RNA is filed under the name Ananas comosus (pineapple). RNAcentral's name for it is "long non-coding RNA (ACOM_LNC000094)". Lineage: Eukaryota; Viridiplantae; Streptophyta; Magnoliopsida; Poales; Bromeliaceae. The record is from RNAcentral.
UUCAUAAAAGUCUCUGCAAAUAUAGUAAAUAACAAAUAUAUCUCUAUAAAGUUUAAUUUUUAUAUAUUUUUUCUAUAAAAAUUCUGAUAUUGUCAAAUAUGUAUGUCCCUACUAUUAGAAUUCGUUAGAAAAAAAUAAUUAAUUAUAGAUUAAAUACUUAAUAUUGAUUAGUUUUUUACAUUUUUAUUUCUUUUUUAUCAUACUGUUAUGUUUUUUGAAAAAAUAUAUUUGUGAUGAUAAAAUUGAAAAUAUAAAUAGUUUUUUAACGAUUCUCUAACGAUAACAAACCAUGAGAGCAUAUAUAACAACAACAUGACUUUUGUAUAGACAAUACAUAAAAAUUAAAUUUUAUAAAAAUAUAUUUGUUAUUUAUAAUAUUUGUAGGAAUCUGUAUGAAAUUAAUCC